GACAGGUGGUGCAUGGUUGUCGUCAGCUCGUGUCGUGAGAUGUUGGGUUAAGUCCCGCAACGAGCGCAACCCUUAUUGUUAGUUGCCAUCAUUUAGUUGGGCACUCUAGCGAGACUGCCGGUGACAAACCGGAGGAAGGUGGGGAUGACGUCAAAUCAUCAUGCCCCUUAUGACCUGGGCUACACACGUGCUACAAUGGGAAGUACAACGAGUCGCUAGACCGCGAGGUCAUGCAAAUCUCUUAAAGCUUCUCUCAGUUCGGAUUGCAGGCUGCAACUCGCCUGCAUGAAGCCGGAAUCGCUAGUAAUCGCGGAUCAGCACGCCGCGGUGAAUACGUUCCCGGGCCUUGUACACACCGCCCGUCACACCACGAGAGUUUGUAACACCCGAAGUCGGUGAGGUAACCUUUUUGGAGCCAGCCGCCUAAGGUGGGAUAGAUGAUUGGGGUGAAGUCGUAACAAGGUAGCCGUAUCGGAAGGUGCGGCUGGAUCACCUCCUUU
Molecule: ribosomal RNA, 500 nt
Filed under: Enterococcus faecalis
Lineage: Bacteria; Bacillati; Bacillota; Bacilli; Lactobacillales; Enterococcaceae
Description: bacterial SSU rRNA
Rfam family: Bacterial small subunit ribosomal RNA
Source: RNAcentral